GGAGAGGCUAAAAAGUUCUUAUAAUCACCAUGUUUUGUAUAUGCUGUAGAUUUGUAAUUGUAAAUCAUGGUAAGUCGCUAUCUUACUAAUACAUAUGGCUUUUUUUGUUUUGACAGCUCCUGUUUGGCCAGAAUUAGAAGUGUGAUAGUGGAAGGUGUCAUGCUGGAUAUGGUUCCUUUAUCUUUAAGGGAAAAUUGCCAAAACAAUUUACAGAGACAUGUCAGCUGUGUACAGUGAGGAAAUGUCUAUCAUGUGGGACUGUGGAGUGGUGGAAAUAGGAAAUUCAAGUAUAGUCACACCAGUCUGUGGAAUGAUCAAGAGAAGGCUUUCUAUCAAGGUUGUGUUAUUUAUGUUUUGGGACAAUAAAGAUAUCAUUUUGAUGGGCUACUUACAAAAAAGGGUCGAUAGUAACUGGCAUAUUACAAGAAUUUGCUACAAAAGUUACAGGACGGUAUCAAGGAAAAAGACAUGGUUUAUUGUCAAAAGAUAUAUUGCUACUAAUUGACAAUGUACCUGCACACCAAGCUGCAGAAACUCUCACUUUUCUGCACAAAUAUGGCUCUAA
RNAcentral lists this long non-coding RNA (565 nucleotides) under Androctonus crassicauda. The record is from RNAcentral. Lineage: Eukaryota; Metazoa; Arthropoda; Arachnida; Scorpiones; Buthidae.